Molecule: ribosomal RNA, 458 nt
Filed under: uncultured bacterium
Lineage: Bacteria
Description: partial 16S ribosomal RNA
Rfam family: Bacterial small subunit ribosomal RNA
Source: RNAcentral
CCUACGGGUGGCAGCAGUGGGGAAUAUUGCACAAUGGGGGAAACCCUGAUGCAGCGAUGCCGCGUGAGUGAAGAAGUAUUUCGGUACGUAAAGCUCUAUCAGCAGGGAAGAAAAACCGGCCUUAGGGCCGCCAGACGGUACCUGACUAAGAAGCCCCGGCUAACUACGUGCCAGCAGCCGCGGGAAUACGUAGGGGGCAAGCGUUAUCCGGUUUUACUGGGUGUAAAGGGGGCGUAGAAGGGAGCGCAAGUCGGGAGUGAAAUGCCGGGGCCCAACCCCGGAACGGCGUUGGAAACUGUGCAGCUGGAGUGCAGGAGAGGGAAGCGGAAUUCCUGGUGUAGCGGUGAAAUGCGUAGAUAUUAGGAGGAACACCAGUGGCGAAGGCGGCUUACUGGACUGUAACUGACGUUGAGGCUCGAAAGCGUGGGGAGCAAACAGGAUUAGAUACCCUGGUAGUC